RNAcentral lists this ribosomal RNA (468 nucleotides) under uncultured bacterium. RNAcentral's name for it is "partial 16S ribosomal RNA". It matches the Rfam family "Bacterial small subunit ribosomal RNA", at positions 28 to 507 of the family's 1533-position model. The record is from RNAcentral.
GACGAACGCUGGCGGCGUGCUUAACACAUGCAAGUCGAACGGAAAGGCCCUGCUUUUGUGGGGUGCUCGAGUGGCGAACGGGUGAGUAACACGUGAGUAACCUGCCCUUGACUUUGGGAUAACUUCAGGAAACUGGGGCUAAUACCGGAUAGGAGCUCCUGCUGCAUGGUGGGGGUUGGAAAGUUUCGGCGGUUGGGGAUGGACUCGCGGCUUAUCAGCUUGUUGGUGGGGUAGUGGCUUACCAAGGCUUUGACGGGUAGCCGGCCUGAGAGGGUGACCGGCCACAUUGGGACUGAGAUACGGCCCAGCCUCCUACGGGAGGCAGCAGUGGGGAAUAUUGAACAAUGGGCGGAAGCCUGAUGCAGCAACGCCGCGUGCGGGAUGACGGCCUUCGGGUUGUAAACCGUUUUCGCCUGUGACGAAGCGUGAGUGACGGUAAUGGGUAAAGAAGCACCGGCUAACUACGUG